This 415-nucleotide ribosomal RNA is filed under the name Rhodobacter sp. FNE10. Its description in RNAcentral is "bacterial SSU rRNA". It matches the Rfam family "Bacterial small subunit ribosomal RNA", at positions 21 to 464 of the family's 1533-position model. The record is from RNAcentral. Lineage: Bacteria; Pseudomonadati; Pseudomonadota; Alphaproteobacteria; Rhodobacterales.
UGCUCAGAAUGAACGCUGGCGGCAGGCCUAACACAUGCAAGUCGAACGGGACCUUCGGGUCUAGUGGCGGACGGGUGAGUAACGCGUGGGAACAUGCCCAAAGGUACGGGAUAGCCUCGGGAAACUGGGUGUAAUACCGUAUGUGCCCUUCGGGGGAAAGAUUUAUCGCCUUUGGAUUGGCCCGCGUUGGAUUAGGUAGUUGGUGGGGUAAUGGCCUACCAAGCCGACGAUCCAUAGCUGGUUUGAGAGGAUGAUCAGCCACACUGGGACUGAGACACGGCCCAGACUCCUACGGGAGGCAGCAGUGGGGAAUCUUAGACAAUGGGGGAAACCCUGAUCUAGCCAUGCCGCGUGAUCGAUGAAGGCCUUAGGGUUGUAAAGAUCUUUCAGUGGGGAAGAUAAUGACGGUCCCACA